GCGAUUAGUCAGUUUCUGUUCUCUUCGCGGGAAGUUCUGCAAACUUAUCACUUAGAGGAAGGAGAAGUCGUAACAAGGUUUCCGUAGGUGAACCUGCGGAAGGAUCAUUC
RNAcentral lists this non-coding RNA (110 nucleotides) under Perkinsus marinus ATCC 50983. RNAcentral describes it as "Eukaryotic small subunit ribosomal RNA". It matches the Rfam family "Eukaryotic small subunit ribosomal RNA", at positions 1717 to 1831 of the family's 1831-position model. The record is from Rfam by way of RNAcentral. Lineage: Eukaryota; Perkinsozoa; Perkinsida; Perkinsidae.